Molecule: ribosomal RNA, 327 nt
Filed under: uncultured eukaryote
Lineage: Eukaryota
Description: partial 18S ribosomal RNA
Rfam family: Eukaryotic small subunit ribosomal RNA
Source: RNAcentral
CCCUUAGAUGUCCUGGGCCGCACGCGCGUUACACUGAUGCAUUCAACGAGCUUAUAACCUUGGCCGAGAGGCCUGGGCAAUCUUGUUAACGUGCAUCGUGAUAGGGAUAGAUUAUUGAAAUUAUUAAUCUUGAACGAGGAAUUCCUAGUAAACGCAGAUCAUCAAUCUGCAUUGAUUACGUCCCUGCCCUUUGUACACACCGCCCGUCGCUCCUACCGAUUGAAUGUGCUGGUGAAAAGUUCGGAUUGGGAAUAGGAGACGGCAACGUAUCCUGUUUCUGAGAAAAUCUUUAAACCCUCCCAUUUAGAGGAAGGAGAAGUCGUAACA